AAAAAGACAAACCCUGGAUUUUCCGUGUCCAACUUUGACUGUCCGUCUUAUAUGAAAUCUUUUUAUAAUUCGUAUUUUCAUUGUUGUUAGAUGAUAAAACAUGAUUAAUAUUUUAUGCGUGACUUGUCUUUUUAAUUUUUUUCAUAAUUUUUUCAAAUAAGACGGACGGUUAAACGUUGGACACGAAAACC
RNAcentral lists this microRNA precursor (191 nucleotides) under Oryza nivara. RNAcentral's name for it is "MIR812 microRNA precursor family". It matches the Rfam family "MIR812 microRNA precursor family". The record is from Rfam by way of RNAcentral. Lineage: Eukaryota; Viridiplantae; Streptophyta; Magnoliopsida; Poales; Poaceae.